GCGCACGCUGGCGGCAGGCCUAACACAUGCCAGUCGAACGGAUCCUUCGGGAUUAGUGGCGGACGGGUGAGUAACACGUGGGAACGUGCCCUUUGGUUCGGAACAACUCAGGGAAACUUGAGCUAAUACCGGAUGUGCCCUUCGGGGGAAAGAUUUAUCGCCAUUGGAGCGGCCCGCGUCUGAUUAGCUAGUUGGUGAGGUAACGGCCCACCAAGGCGACGAUCAGUAGCUGGUCUGAGAGGAUGAUCAGCCACACUGGGACUGAGACACGGCCCAGACUCCUACGGGAGGCAGCAGUGGGGAAUCUUGCGCAAUGGGCGAAAGCCUGACGCAGCCAUGCCGCGUGGAUGAUGAAGGUCUUAGGAUUGUAAAAUUCUUUCAGCGGGGACGAUAAUGACGGUACCCGCAGAAGAAGCUCCGGCUAACUUCGUG
Molecule: ribosomal RNA, 432 nt
Filed under: uncultured bacterium
Lineage: Bacteria
Description: partial 16S ribosomal RNA
Rfam family: Bacterial small subunit ribosomal RNA
Source: RNAcentral